GGCUUGUAAUUGAAGUCUGGAAUGAAAGAAGACAUGGAUAGUCUCUGUCUCUUAACUUUAAACUGAAUUUACUAAUUAGGUGAAAAGUCCUAUAAAUAACUAAUAGACGAGAAGACCCUUGAAAUUUUUUAUAUAACAGUAUAGAUACUUCAUAAUUUUGUUGGGGCGACAGGAUAACAAAUAACUUGUCUUGUAUAUAUUAGCAUUUUAUUUAAGGAAAAAAUAAAUUACUCGAGGGAUAACAGCAUAAUGUGUUUAAAGUUUGUGACCUCGAUGUUGGACUAGGGU
This 288-nucleotide ribosomal RNA is filed under the name Trochoidea elegans. Its description in RNAcentral is "partial large subunit ribosomal RNA". Lineage: Eukaryota; Metazoa; Mollusca; Gastropoda; Stylommatophora; Geomitridae. The record is from RNAcentral.